AAAAUCUUUAAAAAUAGAAAACAAUUUAGAAUAAUGCUUUAUUAAAAACACCCAAGUGUAACGGGAAUAAUCGUCAAUAAAAAUAUCAAAAUAAUGAAAUUCUAAAGUUGAACUAACAUGACUUGGACCUCACAUGUCUGAGUGAAUAAUAUCAAACUUAGAUGUGGCUCUAUUAUUGAUUCGUUUGGGAAAGAAAGCUCGAGUUUGUUUCCCAAGUUGACAU
Molecule: unclassified non-coding RNA, 223 nt
Filed under: Hevea brasiliensis (rubber tree)
Lineage: Eukaryota; Viridiplantae; Streptophyta; Magnoliopsida; Malpighiales; Euphorbiaceae
Source: RNAcentral